RNAcentral lists this ribosomal RNA (160 nucleotides) under uncultured Anoxybacillus sp. RNAcentral describes it as "partial 16S ribosomal RNA". It matches the Rfam family "Bacterial small subunit ribosomal RNA", at positions 372 to 528 of the family's 1533-position model. Lineage: Bacteria; Bacillati; Bacillota; Bacilli; Caryophanales; Anoxybacillaceae. The record is from RNAcentral.
CAAGGGAAGCCUGAGCAGCACGCCGCGUGAGCGAUGAAGGCCUUCGGGUCGUAAAGCUCUGUCGUCAGGGAAGAAAUGACCGGGAUUAACUGCGGGGCCCUUGACGGCUCCUGGCCAGAAAGCCCCGGCUAACUACGUGCCAGCAGCCGCGGUAAUACGA